RNAcentral lists this long non-coding RNA (694 nucleotides) under Homo sapiens (human). RNAcentral describes it as "non-protein coding lnc-PABPC4L-1:1". The record is from RNAcentral. Lineage: Eukaryota; Metazoa; Chordata; Mammalia; Primates; Hominidae.
GGGAUCUGCGACCUUAGGAUAGAGGCAGGGCCAGAAGGCCUUCAGAGGGCAGCACCUACUGUGAGUGGGCCGGACAACAGCACAUUAAUCCAUGUGAAGCUCACGAAGACAGUGAGCCAAGUGCUCCAAAUCUACCAGAGCCACAGAAUUUAAUUCCUUUGCAGUCUUCAAUUCAGUUCUAGGGGUCAAAGGACUUGUCUAAAUUACCCCAAAGGGACCCCUUUCAUGAAGUACAUCACUUUAACCACUGUCUGUCAAAUAAGACUAAAGACAAUCCUCAGAGAAGCUUUGCAGCCAUCAGUAUUCUUAAACUCUGGAGAUGCAAAGCUUAAUUGCCUGAGAAUUUAUGCAAGAUAAAAUUAGUGUGGGGAACCAAUGACUUGUAUCAGCUGAGAUGAAAAGAGAAUAAAUUACCCAGGGAGAAGAAGAAUCCUGCAAUAGAAACAAACAAAAAUCAUUAAACCUAGUGGGUUAUAUGUAUGGAAAAUAAUUCAAAUUGGCAAAAAAAAUUUCAAAAAAGUUGUUUCAGACAAGGUGCCUGUAAUGAAAAGUUUAACUCCCACAAACUCUACAAAUACAAUUAAAAAAAAAAAAAACACACAUGCCAACAGCAGUGCUUCACAGUGAUUGUAUAUAAACAGGGUGAUUUGCUUAGCAGCACUUAAGUCUAAUAAGAAAACUGAGCUGCUUGCUU